AGGUGCUCCCUCUCCAACCCGGGCUAGCGGUGCCCCUCUGCCCCUAAAACUAUGUCCUUCUGGGCUGUUUCUGGAGCGCUCACCUGUCCAGAAGAGCGGUCCUCAAACCAUCCACCACCCACCUGCCCCUGAACCGCUCAGGACAAUUUAAUGCCACAUACAGAAAACAAGGUGCAUCUAGAGAGAAGACAACGUGAAGACACAGGGAGACCACCAGCCACAGAGCAAGGAACCUCGAAGACUGUGAGCAAACCACUAGAAUCUAGAAGAGAACAUAGAACAGAAGUUUCCUCACAAUUCUCAGAAGGAACCAACACUGCCCUCACCUUGAUCUCAGACUUCGACCCCCAGAGCACUGAGACAUUACAUUCUGUUCUGAACCAGGCCAUAGGCUCCACCAGAAGCUGUGCUGAGGACCGCAGUGGACAUGGGCACGAACACUUCUCCAUCUCUCUUUUUCAUACCACACUUCAGCAGACGUGAGGAAGAGCUCCAUGCAUCAUCCCCUAUGGCUGACUGGAGCCUGUGCUUUGCUGACUAGGGUCUUGAGAAGAAAAAAAAUCUCUCUCUGUUUUCCCAAAUGAUGAAGUUUUAUUGUUUAUGAGCCCUUUUAUGUUGUAAACCUAGGAAAGGUGAGGGACCCAUGAAACUGUAUUUUAAAAAAAUCCUUUAAAUCUGCACCUUGUAUAUCUAUCCUUUGUCUGAGCUUCUCUUUCUCCUCUUACCAAAACAAACCAUUGUGAGAUAUGUGUAUUUUUAACCUGAGAUGCAGGUCUUAUAUAAUACAACAAACUUUGAAGAUCCGAUUCACAUAAAUUGGAUUGCAAACCAAAUAAAAUUUGC
Molecule: long non-coding RNA, 843 nt
Organism: Mustela putorius furo (domestic ferret)
Lineage: Eukaryota; Metazoa; Chordata; Mammalia; Carnivora; Mustelidae
Source: Ensembl